RNAcentral lists this unclassified non-coding RNA (738 nucleotides) under Hevea brasiliensis (rubber tree). Lineage: Eukaryota; Viridiplantae; Streptophyta; Magnoliopsida; Malpighiales; Euphorbiaceae. The record is from RNAcentral.
GUGACUAUGAUUCUCAUGAUAUUGAGCGUUAUACACGAGCAAAGUUCAUGGAUUACACAACGGACAAUAUGUCUAUUUAUCCAUCGCCUACUGGCGUUAUGAUUGGACUUGACCUUGCUUACAAUUUGCAUUCCGCCUUUGGAAACUGGUUUCCUGGUUCAAAACCAUUGCUUGCCCAAGCCAUGAACAAGAUUAUGAAGUCAAAUCCUGCGCUCUAUGUGCUGAGGGAACGCAUAAGGAAAGGGUUGCAACUGUAUUCUUCAGAGCCCACAGAACCAUAUUUAUCAUCUCAGAACUAUGGAGAGAUAUUCAGCAAUCAAAUCAUCUGGUUUGUUGAUGACACAAAUGUGUACCGUGUGACCAUCCACAAGACCUUCGAGGGAAAUCUGACAACAAAGCCCAUAAAUGGUGCAAUUUUCAUUUUCAAUCCCAGGACAGGUCAACUGUUUUUGAAGGUCAUUCACACAAGUGUGUGGGCAGGGCAAAAGCGUCUUGGCCAACUGGCGAAGUGGAAAACAGCCGAAGAAGUGGCUGCGCUUGUUAGGUCUUUGCCUGUUGAAGAACAACCAAAGCAAAUUAUUGUGACUCGGAAGGGAAUGCUUGAUCCAUUGGAGGUCCACUUGCUCGAUUUUCCAAAUAUUGUUAUCAAAGGAAGUGAGCUGCAAUUACCAUUCCAGGCUUGUUUGAAGAUAGAGAAAUUUGGUGAUCUGAUACUGAAGGCUACAGAGCCACAAAUGG